Long non-coding RNA from Bos taurus (domestic cattle), 1397 nucleotides. The record is from Ensembl. NCBI's taxonomy places the organism in Eukaryota, Metazoa, Chordata, Mammalia, Artiodactyla, Bovidae.
CCAUAUAUAACUUUUUAUUAAGAAAAUGAACAAAAUACAUUCUUUCUCCAUAUGUACAUUACAUACAACGUAAUUCUACAACUGCGACUGUUCAGCAGAUCAUCUAUUUAUUCACAAAGCAGUGUUAACACAUUCACCAAACCUGGGAUCAGAACAUUACUCAUACUAAGAAAGAAAACAAAACCCUAAAAAGUCCAUACUGAGGGCAAAAGUGAGAUAAAACAGAGGAUCAUGAGCGGGGUGAGGAAGAUUACAGAGCACACUCAACAGAGCCCAGCAAUGUAGAACACUAAUGAUGUCAGAGGAUACCUGAUGCCCCCAAAACGUUUCUGUUUAAACAUUCUAGCUGGCCCAUGCCAGGGGUUCCAGACCUAUCUCAUGAUCUCCACUACAGGAUCCGUGUUGCUACAGAAGAGGAGAGUAAAGGCCAAGGGGUAGGACCCUGAAAGGUUGUAGUUUCUUCCUUCAUACAUUAAGAAAAGGACUCUCAUGAAAUACAAAGCUCCUAAAUCUUAGCUGAUAACCAGAGAAAUACAUUUUUGGAGAGAUAGUUGCUAAGCAUGGUAAGGGAAAUCUUGUGUCGAGGACUCCUUAUUUAUAUACUUAUGUUCAUCUCUUUUCUUUUGCUUUGCUCUUCUCUGCUUUUCCCUUGGCCUUUGAAAAGUACCUUAUCCUUCUUAGGUGUGAGUUUAAUUAUAUUAAAAUAAAGUCCAUCUAAACAGAAAGCUCUUUGUUAUGAAUAUGCUCCAAAUGUCUAUAAUGGUACAUAAAGCGUUUUAAAAUUCAAAUUAAUCUUAGAGAUAAAAUUUCAAAUGACCUGAACAAGGCAGCUCCCUAUAUAGCUUUUGGGUAGUAUCUAGUAUCUAUAGUUUAGGCUUAAAAAUUACAUUUCAACAAUUAUUUUCAGAUGGCUUAUCUAAAAAGGAUAAUGUUUUAAAGGAAAAGUGCUUGUGGACAAUGGAAUGGCUGUGUCAAGAUUUUUUAUUUUUUUCCUGGUCUUUACCAUGUUAGGGUAACAGAAGUAAAGUAAAAUGAGUAAGUCUCAACAGUUAAAUAAGAGUGGCUUUCCUUCUUCACACUCUGUAAUUUUCUAAAUUUCUAUGAUAAACAUAAUAAUACAAAACCAAUAAAUGUUAUUAUUUAAAAGUCCCAUUAGAGAUGUUUAACACUCUUCAACUUUCAGAUGAGCUGGCUGCUCUAACACCAUGUUUCCAGUCUGGGAGAUGUUCUAACAGAGAGAAGGAACUAUCCACAGCGUCAAUAAGCAGAUCCAGAAAGACAGAUUCUACUGGCUGUGGAUGAGCUGCACCUUUCUGCUCAACCUAAUCUGCAGUCCAACUUUGGUUCUGAGGAUCUAGCUCUAUCUUUAUCUAAAUGGAUCUUAAUUUCUGGCCAAG